RNAcentral lists this ribosomal RNA (258 nucleotides) under uncultured bacterium. Its description in RNAcentral is "partial 16S ribosomal RNA". It matches the Rfam family "Bacterial small subunit ribosomal RNA", at positions 793 to 1055 of the family's 1533-position model. The record is from RNAcentral.
GUCCACGCCGUAAACGAUGGAUACUAGCUGUUGGGGGCAACUUCAGUGGCUAAGCGAAAAGUGAUAAGUAUCCCCACCUGGGGGAGUACGUUCGCAAUAAUGAAACUCAAAGGAAUUGACGGGGGCCCGCACAAGCGGUGGAGCAUGUGGUUUAAUUCGAUGAUACGCGAGGAACCUUACCAAGGCUUAAAUGUAGAUUGACCGGUUUGGAAACAGAUCUUUCGCAAGACAAUUUACAAGGUGCUGCAUGGUUGUCGU